UUCAUCAUGGAGCACCUUAGCGGAAAAUUCACACUUUGUGUCCAAUCACAGUGCAGUGUCAGCGGUUACAGAUCGGCCGAUUUUCGAUUAUGACAAACUCA
Molecule: long non-coding RNA, 101 nt
Organism: Thalassophryne amazonica
Lineage: Eukaryota; Metazoa; Chordata; Actinopteri; Batrachoidiformes; Batrachoididae
Exons: 3
Source: RefSeq, a predicted model, not a curated record